UGGGCUUGAACCGCACAGGACCAUCUUUGGAAACAGAGACUUCCCGCAAGGGACCUGUGUAGAGGUGCUGCAUGGCUGUCGUCAGCUCGUGCCGUGAGGUGUUGGGUUAAGUCCCGCAACGAGCGCAACCCUUACUCAUAGUUGCUACCUGCAAGGGAGAACUCUAUGAGGACUGCUCCGGAUAACGGAGAGGAAGGUGGGGAUGAGGUCAAGUCAGCAUGGCCUUUAUGUCCAGGGCUACACACGUGUUACAAUGCGCGCUACAGAGCGUUGCAAACCCGCGAGGGGGAGCUAAUCGCACAAAAGCGCGCUCAGUUCGGAUUGCAGUCUGCAACUCGACUGCAUGAAGCCGGAAUCGCUAGUAAUGGCGCAUCAGAACGGCGCCGUGAAUACGUUCCCGGGCCUUGUACACACCGAAGGGCG
Molecule: ribosomal RNA, 423 nt
Filed under: uncultured Acidobacteriota bacterium
Lineage: Bacteria; Pseudomonadati; Acidobacteriota
Description: bacterial SSU rRNA
Rfam family: Bacterial small subunit ribosomal RNA
Source: RNAcentral